GACAGAGGUGCCGAGCGUUAGGCGGAAUCACUGGGCUUAAAGCGUGUGUAGGCGGCGGCCUAAGUACCUUGUGAAAUCCCACGGCUCACCCGUGGAACUGCUCGGUAUACUGGGUCGCUUGAGCCACUUAGGGGCUACCGGAACAAAUGGUGGAGCGGUGAAAUGCGUAGAUAUCAUUUGGAACGCCAAUGGUGAAAACAGGUAGCUGGGAGUGUGCUGACGCUGAGACACGAAAGCCAGGGGAGCAAACGGG
This 253-nucleotide ribosomal RNA is filed under the name uncultured bacterium. RNAcentral's name for it is "partial 16S ribosomal RNA". It matches the Rfam family "Bacterial small subunit ribosomal RNA", at positions 524 to 776 of the family's 1533-position model. The record is from RNAcentral.